AGCAGGAGCACGGAAGCGAAAAUGAAGGGUUACACCUAUCUGAUUCUGGCUAUUUGCCUCAGCUGUGCCAUUGCCGUGUCAAUUCCCAAAGAGAGAUCUACGGUGGAUCAGCUUCUGGUAGAGCUGCGUGAAUUACUGGAGGAGAACCUGGCACUCGAGGAGCGUGGGGACACUUACAGCCCUACCAAAAAAUGUCCAAGAGGCUACUAUUGCUAGCGACGAACGUCCCGAGCUUACAGCGGCGUGUGCAAACCAAUACCUAAAAACCUAUCUCCAGUUUACGACGCCCCGACAAAGUCAUCGGAUGAUGUAUUUUAAUGAAAUUUAGCAGUGCCAUAGAGGCAGACAUACUUAUCAUCUGUGUGAAAUUAUAUGUAAAUUAAUUAUGUCUCUGCAUAAUUAUGACUCAUUAAUUAUUCAUGAUACCAACUUUUUACCUUCUUUCGAUUGUCGGGCGAUUUUAUUGCAUUUUUCACAUCAAAGAUGCUGUAUGGAUUGUACAUAUUCAGAAGAAAUGAAACCAGAGAUGCUGUGAGCUGUAUACAGUAAUAUGCAUAAGCAAAAAUCAACGGGGGGGGGGCGGAUUCUGCCCCCGGCUCUUUGAGGGUUAAACCUUUAAACAACGAAAGCACACAGUAACGUUGGUGACAUUCGUAUCGAAGAGACCGGAUAAGUCCAAUGCUGUAGAAAGAAUGCAAACUAUUCUUUUGACGCAUUUGCAACAAUUGACAUUAGCUCCAACUGAUUUGCAUAAGGUUUUCAACUUUUUUUUAAAAUCCCCACCACACUUGACUUGUUGAAGUUCCCGACUCCUGGAUAGAGUCAAAGCAACCCAAUAGUUUUGUCAGUUAUAAUCAAAUGAGAUGAUGAUGCCUCAUGUUUUGUUUGAUCACAUCAUCCAUUCCUUAGAAAAUAUCCUCCCAACCUCCCUUGGCACAUUGUACUGUUAGCCUAUAGAUGUUUAAUUAAGAUUACAUUCUGUCAAAAACUGUUUUUAACACUCGGGUUACUCUGAAUAAAAGUGAAUCUAA
Acanthaster planci (crown-of-thorns starfish) is the source of this 1031-nucleotide long non-coding RNA. RefSeq lists it as uncharacterized. NCBI's taxonomy places the organism in Eukaryota, Metazoa, Echinodermata, Asteroidea, Valvatida, Acanthasteridae. The record is from RefSeq and is a predicted model, not a curated record.